GCUGGAAUCGCUAGUAAUCGUAGAUCAGCAUGCUACGGUGAAUACGUUCCCGGGUCUUGUACACACCGCCCGUCACACCACGAGAGUUUGUAACACCCGAAGCCGGUGGAGCAACCUUUUAGGAGCUAGCCGUCGAAGGUGGGACAAAUGAUUGGGGUGAAGUCGUAACAAGGUAGCCGUAUCGGAAGGUGCGGCUGGAUCACCUCCUUU
RNAcentral lists this ribosomal RNA (210 nucleotides) under Staphylococcus aureus. RNAcentral describes it as "partial 16S ribosomal RNA". It matches the Rfam family "Bacterial small subunit ribosomal RNA", at positions 1325 to 1533 of the family's 1533-position model. The record is from RNAcentral. Lineage: Bacteria; Bacillati; Bacillota; Bacilli; Caryophanales; Staphylococcaceae.